Long non-coding RNA from Octopus bimaculoides (California two-spot octopus), 428 nucleotides. RefSeq lists it as uncharacterized. The record is from RefSeq and is a predicted model, not a curated record. NCBI's taxonomy places the organism in Eukaryota, Metazoa, Mollusca, Cephalopoda, Octopoda, Octopodidae.
GAAAAAUAUUAGAUAAAGACUGUAAACGAAAAAGAAAAAGAAAACACAUACACACACAUACACAUGCGCAUACAUACGUUUUUUUGAAUGGUGUAGGUUUGACAAGAAAAAGCAGUAUAUUUCAACAACUACAGCGAACUUGGCGAAAUACGCUUAUACAGUGUGAAGAGGCAUCUUAUACACAAGUAGGACGUAGAAAUGUAAACAUGGACAACCAGAGACUCGGGCUCUUUCAAAGACAGAAUAUCGGCAUGUGUUUAUCAAGAGUUCGAUCUGUGCUGAUUAUCAAACAAAUGUGGAAAGCUUAAUAUUCAGAACAUGAGGGAAACGGGGAAGAAGGAGAUUGUGCUUUCUCAUAUUCCCCUAUUCCACGUUUCGGUCUUUCUUCCUUCAUUGGCCACCGAAUAAAGUUGUUAUCUCACUACUUA